AGUCACGGUGGCUGUACUCUGCUUCCAUGGUCGGAGGCAGUAUGCUUCUGAACACCAGUUGCUGGAAACAACAGGAGGGAAGAGUGCUCUUCUGCACAGAUAUCCAAGGCUUACUGUCAGAAGUGAUUAAGCAAUUGUUGCCACUGGACACAAGAAAGACAUUGCCUAAGACGAUCAAAGAUGGAAGUGAUCUUUUAAAAGGCAGAGAAGAUACAAAACUAAUUGGAAUCUUGAGUAACAAAACUGACAAAAGUGAUAUACUCAAAGUGAUACAAAGUAUGACACAAGGUCCAUUCCCAAAACUACACUGUGGCUGAUGUUGAGAGAGCUCUUGCCUGAAUCUUGAGAAGAGGAAGCCGAAGAGCUCCAGUGUAACUUGCUCCCAGUAACUCACUCCCUUCUCCAUGUGAACUACUGUGUCCUGAGGCCAGUUAAAGCUUCUGAACAAAAAUUCGCCUCAGGGAUACAAGUAUAGCAUUCCUGACAGAGUGAACUGCACCAGUGAAGAAGAGCUCAACACCUCCCAAGGACGUCACUUCCACUGUUGAACCGCUUUUACCAUUGGGAAUUUUCUCUCAAUGCUUAGCCAAAAUCUCCUUCCUUGCAAUUUCCACCCAUUGGGUCUAGUCCUGCCUUUGAAGCAGCAGUGAAAUAUUCCAUUGUGACUUCACCUUAUUAACAGUGCAAGCCUAAGUAUAUUUACUGAGAUGUAAAUCUUCCAGAGCUAAAUGGGACUAACCUUUUGGUGAGGAUUGUUUAGGAUUGCAGCCUAUGACGUAAGAUUGGCCCAUCCCUUUGAAAUGGCUAGCUACCAUUUGAUAAAUUAUAGAGGGCUCGCAGAUUGUCCAUAGAAAUGCUUGAGCAGUUUAAUCUUUAUGAAUUCCUAUUCGAAGUGUGAUCAGCACCUGUUGAAUGAAUAUAUGAAUUGGUACUUAACUGGCUUAGUUUUAUGUUGAUUUUGUGUGCUGCUGGAAUUGUUUAAGUAUGUUGCAAAUUUUAUGUUAAUAUUCCGAUAGCAUGUUGGGGUUUAAUUUGAGGGUUGUUUUGUUUUUAUUGUUUUAUUAUUGAUUUGUUAGCUGCCUUGAGUCUCUUUG
Long non-coding RNA from Rhineura floridana, 1094 nucleotides. RefSeq lists it as uncharacterized. The record is from RefSeq and is a predicted model, not a curated record. Lineage: Eukaryota; Metazoa; Chordata; Lepidosauria; Squamata; Rhineuridae. The transcript has 4 exons.